UUCGGCAUGGUCUAGUGGUUAGGAUACCUGGCUCUCGCCUAGGACCCCCAGGUUCGAUUCCCGGUGACGGAC
This is a non-coding RNA of Trichonephila clavata, 72 nucleotides long. The record is from the annotation of a GenBank genome assembly. Lineage: Eukaryota; Metazoa; Arthropoda; Arachnida; Araneae; Nephilidae.